ACGCUGGCGGCAUGCCUUACACAUGCAAGUCGAACGGCAGCACGGGGGCAACCCUGGUGGCGAGUGGCGAACGGGUGAGUAAUAUAUCGGAACGUGCCAAGUAGUGGGGGAUAACUAGUCGAAAGAUUAGCUAAUACCGCAUACGCUCUACGGAGGAAAGUGGGGGAUCGCAAGACCUCAUGCUAUUUGAGCGGCCGAUAUCUGAUUAGCUAGUUGGUAGGGUAAAAGCCUACCAAGGCGACGAUCAGUAGCUGGUCUGAGAGGACGACCAGCCACACUGGGACUGAGACACGGCCCAGACUCCUACGGGAGGCAGCAGUGGGGAAUUUUGGACAAUGGGGGCAACCCUGAUCCAGCAAUGCCGCGUGAGUGAAGAAGGCCUUCGGGUUGUAAAGCUCUUUUGUCAGGGAAGAAACGCGCUGAGCUAAUACCUCGGCGUAAUGACGGUACCUGAAGAAUAAGCACCGGCUAACUACUUGCCA
Molecule: ribosomal RNA, 482 nt
Filed under: bacterium gwi47
Lineage: Bacteria
Description: bacterial SSU rRNA
Rfam family: Bacterial small subunit ribosomal RNA
Source: RNAcentral